AUUGAACGCUGGCGGCAGGCCUAACACAUGCAAGUCGAGCGGAAGAAGGGCGCUUGCUCCUGGCUUCAGCGGCGGACGGGUGAGUAAUGCCUAGGAAUCUGCCUGGUAGUGGGGGAUAACGUCGGGAAACGGGCUCUAAUACCGCAUACGUCCUGAGGGAAAAAGUGGGGGCGCUUCGGACCUCACGCUUUCAGCGGAGCCUAGGUCGGAUUAGGUAGUUGGUGGGGUAAAAGCCUACCAAGGCGACGAUCUGUCACUGGUCUGAGAGGAUGACCAGCCACACUGGGACUGAGACACGGCCCCGACUCCUACGGGAGGGAGCAGUGGGGAAUUUUGGACAAUGGGCGAAAGCCUGAUCCAGCAAUGCCGCGUGCAGGAUGAAGGCCUUCGGGUUUUAAACUGCUUUUGUACGGGACGAAAAGGCUCUGGCUAAUACCUGGGGCAUUUGACGGUACCGAAAGAAUAAGCACCGGCUAACUACGUG
RNAcentral lists this ribosomal RNA (484 nucleotides) under uncultured bacterium. Its description in RNAcentral is "partial 16S ribosomal RNA". It matches the Rfam family "Bacterial small subunit ribosomal RNA", at positions 30 to 507 of the family's 1533-position model. The record is from RNAcentral.